Molecule: ribosomal RNA, 472 nt
Filed under: uncultured bacterium
Lineage: Bacteria
Description: bacterial SSU rRNA
Rfam family: Bacterial small subunit ribosomal RNA
Source: RNAcentral
GCAAAGCACUCCUACGGGAGGCAGCAGUGGGGAAUAUUGCACAAUGGGCGCAAGCCUGAUGCAGCCAUGCCGCGUGUAUGAAGAAGGCCUUCGGGUUGUAAAGUACUUUCAGCAGUGAGGAAGGUGGGUAUGUUAAUAGCAUACUCAUUUGACGUUAGCUGCAGAAGAAGCACCGGCUAACUCCGUGCCAGCAGCCGCGGUAAUACGGAGGGUGCGAGCGUUAAUCGGAAUUACUGGGCGUAAAGCGCAUGCAGGUGGUUUGUUAAGUCAGAUGUGAAAGCCCGGGGCUCAACCUCGGAAUUGCAUUUGAAACUGGCAAACUAGAGUACUGUAGAGGGGGUAGAAUUUCAGGUGUAGCGGUGAAAUGCGUAGAGAUCUGAAGGAAUACCGGUGGCGAAGGCGGCCCCCUGGACAGAUACUGACACUCAGAUGCGAAAGCGUGGGGAGCAAACAGGAUUAGAUACCCGGGUAG